RNAcentral lists this ribosomal RNA (799 nucleotides) under Corallococcus coralloides. Its description in RNAcentral is "bacterial SSU rRNA". It matches the Rfam family "Bacterial small subunit ribosomal RNA", at positions 77 to 854 of the family's 1533-position model. The record is from RNAcentral. Lineage: Bacteria; Pseudomonadati; Myxococcota; Myxococcia; Myxococcales; Myxococcaceae.
GGGCAACCCUUAGUAGAGCGGCGCACGGGUGCGUAACACGUGGAUAAUCUGCCUGGAUGCCUGGGAUAACCAGUCGAAAGAUUGGCUAAUACCGGAUAAGCCCACGGUUUCUUCGGAGACUGAGGGAAAAGGUGGCCUCUGUAUACAAGCUAUCACAACCAGAUGAGUCCGCGGCCCAUCAGCUAGUUGGCGGGGUAAUGGCCCACCAAGGCGACGACGGGUAGCUGGUCUGAGAGGACGAUCAGCCACACUGGAACUGAGACACGGUCCAGACUCCUACGGGAGGCAGCAGUGGGGAAUUUUGCGCAAUGGGCGAAAGCCUGACGCAGCAACGCCGCGUGUGUGAUGAAGGUCUUUGGAUUGUAAAGCACUUUCGACCGGGACGAAACCGUAAAGCCUAAUACGCUUUGCCUUGACGGUACCGGGAGAAGAAGCACCGGCUAACUCUGUGCCAGCAGCCGCGGUAAUACAGAGGGUGCAAGCGUUGUUCGGAAUUAUUGGGCGUAAAGCGCGUGUAGGCGGCUUUGCAAGUCGGGUGUGAAAGCCCUCAGCUCAACUGAGGAAGUGCGCCCGAAACUGCAGAGCUUGAGUGCCGGAGAGGGUGGCGGAAUUCCCCAAGUAGAGGUGAAAUUCGUAGAUAUGGGGAGGAACACCGGUGGCGAAGGCGGCCACCUGGACGGUAACUGACGCUGAGACGCGAAAGCGUGGGUAGCAAACAGGAUUAGAUACCCUGGUAGUCCACGCCGUAAACGAUGAGAACUAGGUGUCGUGGGAGUUGACCCCCGCGGUGCCGUAGCUA